This 495-nucleotide ribosomal RNA is filed under the name uncultured bacterium. Its description in RNAcentral is "partial 16S ribosomal RNA". It matches the Rfam family "Bacterial small subunit ribosomal RNA", at positions 28 to 507 of the family's 1533-position model. The record is from RNAcentral.
GACGAACGCUGGCGGCGUGCCUAAUACAUGCAAGUAGAACGCUGAAGGAGGAGCUUGCUCUUCUGGAUGAGUUGCGAACGGGUGAGUAACGCGUAGGUAACCUGCCUGGUAGCGGGGGAUAACUAUUGGAAACGAUAGCUAAUACCGCAUAACAGUAGAUGUUGCAUGACAUUUGCUUAAAAGGUGCAAUUGCACCACUACCAGAUGGACCUGCGUUGUAUUAGCUAGUUGGUGGGGUAACGGCUCACCAAGGCGACGAUACAUAGCCGACCUGAGAGGGGGAGCGGCCACACUGGGACUGAGACACGGCCCAGACUCCUACGGGAGGCAGCAGUAGGGAAUCUUCGGCAAUGGACGGAAGUCUGACCGAGCAACGCCGCGUGAGUGAAGAAGGUUUUCGGAUCGUAAAGCUCUGUUGUAAGAGAAGAACGAGUGUGAGAGUGGAAAGUUCACACUGUGACGGUAUCUUACCAGAAAGGGACGGCUAACUACGUG